GUCAGUGGAAAGAAUUUGAACAUCACAGCAAACUAAGUGCAUGUAUCUUUUAUGCCUUCUGCCUAAAUUCCCUUGAAAAGAAAAAAGAUACUUUAAAAUGUAUAAAUCUAUAGUAAUGCUGAGCAGCAAGAAAUAGUGCCAGAAGUGUAAGAAAAAUAUUAAACAAUUCUUAACAAGAGAAAGCAGACAGGACUGGAUUGGCAAUCAGCAAGACUAAGAAAAGUCUCAUGAAGAUGUGGUGUUGGAAAGAGCUGCUGUGGAACUGGGGAUAUUGUGAGAUGUACCUCAGCAUCAUAAUCAGAAGGGUUCUUCAGGGCUCUAUGAGGCUUAUUUGAGAAAAUAUCUUUAGGGAAGCUGGGAAAACCAGCAUCUCUCCUCUUGUGCUAUUCUGCUAAGCUGAGUGCAGCCAUCACAUUGGCACACAAGCUAAGGCAGCCAGUCCUGGAGCCCUAAAGCCACCCAGUCCUGGAGCCCUAUAGGCCGGGCUAUUCAGCAGGUCAUCGAUGGUCAAGAGUGAAGAACUCUCUUCCAGGAGGACACCUCUCAGGAGAUAAACCAUGGUCAUGCCACUUCUGACAGCAUAUAGCAUUCCUCUGCCCAAAUCACAAAAGCUUCUAAAAUAUGGGAGACCCUCAGUAAUUCAACCAGUCAUUGAACACCUGAAGACUCUCUGCUGGGUCUUGGAAAGAAAGAGAUGUUGCUUGUCCUAAAGAAAAGCCCAGUUUACUGGAGAAAACAGGCAAAUUUCAGACAUGGAAGGUUACCUAACAGUAACUUACCCUGUUACACAAGAUAGGCAUCUCACACGAUGUGGCACUAACGCCCAGCAGGAGCUAAGAGUGGAGCACAGAAUUACUUGGGCACCCAGCAGGACACAGACCUUCUACCUCCAUAGAAGCUUCCAUGAACACUGCAGCAGCAGAAGAGAGGGCUGGGUGGUAUUACGGCAAUUAAGUGCUCCCAUCUAA
Molecule: long non-coding RNA, 968 nt
Filed under: Macaca mulatta (Rhesus monkey)
Lineage: Eukaryota; Metazoa; Chordata; Mammalia; Primates; Cercopithecidae
Description: lncRNA (ENSMMUG00000049741.1)
Source: RNAcentral